Long non-coding RNA from Tarenaya hassleriana, 1081 nucleotides. RefSeq lists it as uncharacterized. The transcript has 8 exons. The record is from RefSeq and is a predicted model, not a curated record. NCBI's taxonomy places the organism in Eukaryota, Viridiplantae, Streptophyta, Magnoliopsida, Brassicales, Cleomaceae.
CUUGACGAGAGGGUGCUGGAUACUUCGGCGAUGCGCCGAGACUCCGCCGUAUCGCCGUCGUCGCUUCCUCUGUCAACCUCCGAUGUCCGUGCAACGGCAGCGAGGAUUCUUCUUCGCCGUUGAUCCGCGAUGCGGGCUCCGAAUUGUAUCUCCUCCUCCGAUCUCAUGCCACCUGUGAUGUUCAAAAGGCAGUGAAGGAAUACGGCCAUCUCCAAUUUGGUGAAAUCUGCCCCUACACAGAGCCUCAUACCACCACCAAAUGGCAAGAAAUACUUUGACACGUUACUGGUUCCCGAUCCCUGUUACUUGGCGUGAAAGGUUUUAAGAAGAUUUUCCCACCUCCCAUCUAGAAGGGUUGAAGGCAAGCGGAUCAUCAUAUAUGUUCGGAUUCAAAUGUACGGCAGCAGGACAGACAAACAGUUUCCAGCCAGCUGGAAUGAAUUUUGUGAUCAUGCGCAUAAGCCAUCUAUCUCGCUGAUUCAUGACAUUUAUUGGAUUUCUCGAGCUACCUGAAAAGUAUAAGUCAUCGAUCUGUAUUCUUCCCAGGAGUGACAGAGCAAUGGGUUUUUCUGACCGUUAAACGUUUCAGAACUGAAGGGUGAUCUGAGAGAAAUUUGACGGCUAAAGUUAAAGCCAGUGAAGUUGUUUCGAAGCUGGCAAAAAGCAGGAGGAAUAUCAAAGCUAUUGCAAUUUCUUCUGUCAUUGCCGUCCCCUCUUUCUGUAGUUCUUCCAUGACAUAAUCGAAAAAGUCACUUGGGUUGUUCCGUGGGUUUUCCCGUCUCUCCUUAAGCAUAUUCUUCAGCAUUUUCAUUGCCAUAUCCCUGCCCUGGAAAGCAAAUUUAAGCAUCAAUACCAUAUGAGAGAAUGGAAGCAUCUUCUUGAGACCUUCAUGGCCAACGAGGGUCAGGACCAUGUUUUUGAGGUACUUGUACAUGAAGCCGUGCAAUGAAUGCAACUGCCUUCCGAAGAUCUUUGUGAAAGUAACAGGGAUGGGAUGUCUGAAGUGAUAUUUGGCUUGAGGAACUGAAGCGUCUCCCCAACAAGCGGAAAGGCCAUGGAACCAGGAGGCAGAAUUCCAUUA